Molecule: ribosomal RNA, 487 nt
Filed under: Pseudochrobactrum sp.
Lineage: Bacteria; Pseudomonadati; Pseudomonadota; Alphaproteobacteria; Hyphomicrobiales; Brucellaceae
Description: bacterial SSU rRNA
Rfam family: Bacterial small subunit ribosomal RNA
Source: RNAcentral
GCAUGGGAAUCUACCGUUCUCUACGGAAUAACUCAGGGAAACUUGUGCUAAUACCGUAUACGCCCUUUUGGGGAAAGAUUUAUCGGAGAAUGAUGAGCCCAUGUUGGAUUAGCUAGUUGGUAGGGUAAAGGCCUACCAAGGCGACGAUCCAUAGCUGGUCUGAGAGGAUGAUCAGCCACACUGGGACUGAGACACGGCCCAGACUCCUACGGGAGGCAGCAGUGGGGAAUAUUGGACAAUGGGCGCAAGCCUGAUCCAGCCAUGCCGCGUGAGUGAUGAAGGCCCUAGGGUUGUAAAGCUCUUUCACCGGUGAAGAUAAUGACGGUAACCGGAGAAGAAGCCCCGGCUAACUUCGUGCCACCAGCCUCUUUAUUACGAAGGGGGCUAGGGUUGUUCGGAUUGACGGGGCGUAAAACACACGAAGCAGACUUGUAGGUCAGGGGUGAAAGCCCUAGGGCUCAACCCCGGAGCUGCAUUUGGUAGUGGA